UGCUCGGCUCUGCUUGUAGAGGU
Molecule: non-coding RNA, 23 nt
Filed under: Arabidopsis thaliana (thale cress)
Lineage: Eukaryota; Viridiplantae; Streptophyta; Magnoliopsida; Brassicales; Brassicaceae
Source: RNAcentral